UGGGGAAUAUUGCACAAUGGAGGGAACUCUGAUGCAGCGACGCCGCGUGAACGAAGAAGGCUUUCGAGUCGUAAAGUUCUUUUAUAUGGGAAGAUAAUGACGGUAUCAUAAGAAAAAGCCCCGGCUAACUACGUGCCAGCAGCCGCGGUAAUACGUAGGGGGCUAGCGUUGUCCGGAAUCACUGGGCGUAAAGGGUUCGCAGGCGGACAUGCAAGUCAGGUGUAAAAGGCAGUAGCUUAACUACUGUAAGCAUUUGAAACUGCAUAUCUUGAGAAGAGUAGGGGUAAGUAGAUUUUUUAGUGUAGCGGUGAAAUGCGUAGAUAUUAAAAAGAAUACCGGUGGCGAAGGCGACUUACUGGGCUCAUUCUGACGCUGAGGAACGAAAGCGUGGGUAGCAAACAGG
Molecule: ribosomal RNA, 403 nt
Filed under: Fusobacteriota bacterium
Lineage: Bacteria; Fusobacteriati; Fusobacteriota
Description: Fusobacteria bacterium partial 16S ribosomal RNA
Rfam family: Bacterial small subunit ribosomal RNA
Source: RNAcentral